Molecule: small nucleolar RNA, 83 nt
Filed under: Catagonus wagneri (Chacoan peccary)
Lineage: Eukaryota; Metazoa; Chordata; Mammalia; Artiodactyla; Tayassuidae
Description: small Cajal body-specific RNA 18 (ENSCWAG00000003550.1)
Rfam family: small Cajal body-specific RNA 18
About the family: scaRNAs are a specific class of small nuclear RNAs which localise to the Cajal bodies and guide the modification of RNA polymerase II transcribed spliceosomal RNAs U1, U2, U4, U5 and U12. This C/D box domain U91 (also known as U4-8) was identified by Darzacq and is predicted to guide the 2'O-ribose methylation of U4 snRNA C8.
Source: Rfam by way of RNAcentral
UGGUUGAUGACGAUGUGAAAACUGUGCAAUCUGAGUUCUGGAAGCUAGAUGCUGGAGUGUGUGCUGACAACAGACUGACACCA